CUUAUGUACCAUUGUCCAUAAGAGAUUGGUACUCUUCUUCCAUAGCCUUCUCCCACUUGAUUGCAUCUUCACACUUCAUAGCAUCACACAAAGAUAAUGGAACAACAAGAAGAGCAACAUUUGCAUGUUCUUCACUUACUUGAAGGAAGAUGUGAUCAUUCCACUAUUCGCCACGUUGCCUUCUUUCUCUCAAAGGAUAUCUGCUUUCACUGUUAGAAGAACAUUCACCAUGUUGCACUCCAUGUUCUUUUUCAACCUUCUUCUCUCUUAAACCUUGUCGUGUUUCACUCAAUGGUUGAUAUUCUUCAUCAUUAUCAUCAUCCCAAUCUUCAACAUCUUCAUUUCUUUCAUUGUUGGUCCUAUCAAUUGUACGAGCCUUCAUCUUUUCAACCUUCUUUGGCUUUUCAUCUUCAUCAUCUUCAUUGUCUUCAUCUUCUUGUUUCUUUGCUGAAUUCAAAGAUGUGUCCACAAACACACCAUUACUCCCA
Molecule: long non-coding RNA, 488 nt
Filed under: Physcomitrium patens
Lineage: Eukaryota; Viridiplantae; Streptophyta; Bryopsida; Funariales; Funariaceae
Description: long non-coding RNA (PPAT_LNC012004)
Source: RNAcentral